This 338-nucleotide ribosomal RNA is filed under the name uncultured Lachnospiraceae bacterium. RNAcentral describes it as "bacterial SSU rRNA". It matches the Rfam family "Bacterial small subunit ribosomal RNA", at positions 355 to 709 of the family's 1533-position model. Lineage: Bacteria; Bacillati; Bacillota; Clostridia; Lachnospirales; Lachnospiraceae. The record is from RNAcentral.
UGGGGAAUAUUGCACAAUGGGGGAAACCCUGAUGCAGCGACGCCGCGUGAGCGAAGAAGUAUUUCGGUAUGUAAAGCUCUAUCAGCAGGGAAGAAGAAAUGACGGUACCUGACUAAGAAGCCCCGGCUAACUACGUGCCAGCAGCCGCGGUAAUACGUAGGGGCAAGCGUUAUCCGGAUUUACUGGGUGUAAAGGGAGCGUAGGCGGCAUGGCAAGUCUGAUGUGAAAACCCAGGGCUCAACCCUGGGACUGCAUUGGAAACUGUCAAGCUGGAGUGUCGGAGAGGUAAGCGGAAUUCCUAGUGUAGCGGUGAAAUGCGUAGAUAUUAGGAGGAACAC